UCUAGAGGCUUCGGCAAUGGGGGCAACCCUGACCGAGCGACGCCGCGUGAGUGAGGAAGGUUUUCGGACCGUAAAGCUCUGUCGAGCGGGAAGAAAUGUAUCGUGGCUAAUAUCCAUGAUAUUUGACGGUACAGCUAAAGGAAGCACCGGCUAACUCCGUGCCAGCAGCCGCGGUAAUACGGGGGGUGCAAGCGUUGUUCGGAAUUAUUGGGCGUAAAGAGCGUGUAGGCGGCUGAAUAAGUCAGAUGUGAAAUCCCUGGGCUUAACCCAGGAAGUGCAUUUGAAACUAUUCAGCUUGAGUAGGGGAGAGGAAAGUGGAAUUCCUGGUGUAGAGGUGAAAUUCGUAGAUAUCAGGAGGAACACCGGUGGCGAAGGCGACUUUCUGGACAGCAACUGACGCUGAGACGCGAAAGCGUGGGGAGCAAACA
Molecule: ribosomal RNA, 428 nt
Filed under: uncultured prokaryote
Description: bacterial SSU rRNA
Rfam family: Bacterial small subunit ribosomal RNA
Source: RNAcentral